RNAcentral lists this transfer RNA (76 nucleotides) under Staphylococcus aureus T63897. RNAcentral's name for it is "tRNA-Lys". It matches the Rfam family "tRNA". From Rfam's summary of the family: Transfer RNA (tRNA) molecules are approximately 80 nucleotides in length. Their secondary structure includes four short double-helical elements and three loops (D, anti-codon, and T loops). Further hydrogen bonds mediate the characteristic L-shaped molecular structure. tRNAs have two regions of fundamental functional importance: the anti-codon, which is responsible for specific mRNA codon recognition, and the 3' end, to which the tRNAs corresponding amino acid is attached (by aminoacyl-tRNA synthetases). tRNAs cope with the degeneracy of the genetic code in two manners: having more than one tRNA (with a specific anti-codon) for a particular amino acid; and 'wobble' base-pairing, i.e. permitting non-standard base-pairing at the 3rd anti-codon position. Lineage: Bacteria; Bacillati; Bacillota; Bacilli; Caryophanales; Staphylococcaceae. The record is from RNAcentral.
GCCGGCCUAGCUCAAUUGGUAGAGCAUCUGACUUUUAAUCAGAAGGUCAGAGGUUCGAAUCCUCUGGCCGGCACCA